RNAcentral lists this ribosomal RNA (328 nucleotides) under uncultured eukaryote. RNAcentral's name for it is "partial 18S ribosomal RNA". It matches the Rfam family "Eukaryotic small subunit ribosomal RNA", at positions 1470 to 1796 of the family's 1831-position model. The record is from RNAcentral.
CCCUUAGAUGUCCUGGGCUGCACGCGCGCUACACUGAUGUGUCCAGUAAGCACCUAACCUCUUCCGAAAGGAACGGGUAACCUUUGCAAAGCACAUCGUGAUGGGGAUAGAUUAUUGCAAUUAUUAGUCUUGAACGAGGAAUUCCUAGUAAGCGCAAGUCAUCAGCUUGCGUCGAUUACGUCCCUGCCCUUUGUACACACCGCCCGUCGCUCCUACCGAUUGGGUGUGCUGGUGAAAUGUUCGGAUCGGCCGUUUGUCGCGGUUUCCGCGUCAUGUGGCUGAGAAGUUCAUUAAACCCUCCCACCUAGAGGAAGGAGAAGUCGUAACA